This 662-nucleotide ribosomal RNA is filed under the name Terpios sp. NW-2019. Its description in RNAcentral is "partial large subunit ribosomal RNA". It matches the Rfam family "Eukaryotic large subunit ribosomal RNA", at positions 656 to 1300 of the family's 3401-position model. The record is from RNAcentral. Lineage: Eukaryota; Metazoa; Porifera; Demospongiae; Suberitida.
GAAACACGGACCAAGGAGUGCAACAUGCGUGCGAGUCUUUGGGUGGCAAACCCAGCGGCGCAAUGAAAGUGAAGGCAGGCAGUGGUCUGCUGAGGCGAGAGUCCUCUCGGGGACACAUCGUCAACCGAUCCCAGGUCACGCUGUGGCGGGAUUUGAGUGAGAGCGUGCCUGUUGCGACCCGAAAGAUGGUGAACUAUGCCUGAAUAGGGUGAAGCCAGAGGAAACUCUGGUGGAAGCUCGUAGCGAUUCUGACGUGCAAAUCGAUCGUCAAAUUUGGGUAUAGGGGCGAAAGACUAAUCGAACCAUCUAGUAGCUGGUUCCCUCCGAAGUUUCCCUCAGGAUAGCUGGAGCCCGGUGCAGUUUUAUCAGGUAAAGCGAAUGAUUAGAGGUCUUGGGGUUGAAACAACCUCAACCUAUUCUCAAACUUUAAAUGGGUAAGAAGCUUGGCUUGCUUAAUUGAAGUCAGGCAUGGAAUGCCGGGGCUCCUAGUGGGCCAUUUUUGGUAAGCAGAACUGGCGAUGUGGGAUGAACCAAAUGCUGGGUUAAGGUGCCCGAAUCAACGCUCAUCAGAUACCAUGAAAGGUGUUGGUUGAUCUAGACAGCAGGACGGUGGCCAUGGAAGUCGGAAUCCGCUAAGGAGUGUGUAACAACUCACCUGCCAA